AGUACAGACCUAUCGAAUUACCUGAAGGGGAACUGGUCGCAGGAGCUGGAAAGGUUGCAGACGAGGCUGCAGAUGCAGAUCCUGAACCUUAAUGGGACCAGAGUGGAACCAGUGACCCUUGGAGACUUUACCUCUUGGCUUACCUCUGCUUUUUCUUACUUUAAGGAAUGGGUGGGAGUGAUUUUGUUUGGUGCUGCCAUAUGCUGUGGACUGGUGUUCAUGCUCUGAUUGGUAUGCAAAUUCAGAACCCAACAAAAACGUGACAAGGUGAUUAUAACUCAGGCACUU
Molecule: long non-coding RNA, 288 nt
Filed under: Mus musculus (house mouse)
Lineage: Eukaryota; Metazoa; Chordata; Mammalia; Rodentia; Muridae
Description: long non-coding RNA chr13:23266533-23266821
Source: RNAcentral